RNAcentral lists this ribosomal RNA (640 nucleotides) under Enterobacter hormaechei. RNAcentral describes it as "bacterial SSU rRNA". It matches the Rfam family "Bacterial small subunit ribosomal RNA", at positions 120 to 755 of the family's 1533-position model. The record is from RNAcentral. Lineage: Bacteria; Pseudomonadati; Pseudomonadota; Gammaproteobacteria; Enterobacterales; Enterobacteriaceae.
GGGAAACUGCCUGAUGGAGGGGGAUAACUACUGGAAACGGUAGCUAAUACCGCAUAACGUCGCAAGACCAAAGAGGGGGACCUUCGGGCCUCUUGCCAUCGGAUGUGCCCAGAUGGGAUUAGCUAGUAGGUGGGGUAACGGCUCACCUAGGCGACGAUCCCUAGCUGGUCUGAGAGGAUGACCAGCCACACUGGAACUGAGACACGGUCCAGACUCCUACGGGAGGCAGCAGUGGGGAAUAUUGCACAAUGGGCGCAAGCCUGAUGCAGCCAUGCCGCGUGUAUGAAGAAGGCCUUCGGGUUGUAAAGUACUUUCAGCGGGGAGGAAGGUGUUGAGGUUAAUAACCUCGGCAAUUGACGUUACCCGCAGAAGAAGCACCGGCUAACUCCGUGCCAGCAGCCGCGGUAAUACGGAGGGUGCAAGCGUUAAUCGGAAUUACUGGGCGUAAAGCGCACGCAGGCGGUCUGUCAAGUCGGAUGUGAAAUCCCCGGGCUCAACCUGGGAACUGCAUUCGAAACUGGCAGGCUAGAGUCUUGUAGAGGGGGGUAGAAUUCCAGGUGUAGCGGUGAAAUGCGUAGAGAUCUGGAGGAAUACCGGUGGCGAAGGCGGCCCCCUGGACAAAGACUGACGCUCAGGUGCG